Molecule: microRNA, 17 nt
Filed under: Corchorus capsularis
Lineage: Eukaryota; Viridiplantae; Streptophyta; Magnoliopsida; Malvales; Malvaceae
Description: sRNA CCACVL1_26576
Source: RNAcentral
UCAUAUUGUUUAUUUCU